AUUGAACGCUGGCGGCAGGCUUAACACAUGCAAGUCGAACGGUAGCAGGAGAAAGCUUGCUUUCUUGCUGACGAGUGGCGGACGGGUGAGUAAUGCUUGGGAAUCUGGCUUAUGGAGGGGGAUAACUACGGGAAACUGUAGCUAAUACCGCGUAGAAUCGGAAGAUGAAAGUGCGGGACCGCAAGGCCGCAUGCCAUGAGAUGAGCCCAAGUGGGAUUAGGUAGUUGGUGGGGUAAAGGCCUACCAAGCCUGCGAUCUCUAGCUGGUCUGAGAGGAUGGCCAGCCACACUGGAACUGAGACACGGUCCAGACUCCUACGGGAGGCAGCAGUGGGGAAUAUUGCGCAAUGGGGGGAACCUUGACGCAGCCAUGCCGCGUGAAUGAAGAAGGCCUUCGGGUUGUAAAGUUCUUUCGGUAUUGAGGAAGGUUGAUGUGUUAAUAGUACAUCAAAUUGACGUUAAAUACAGAAGAAGCACCGGCUAACUCCGUGCCAGCAGCCGCGGUAAUACGGAGGGUGCGAGCGUUAAUCGGAAUAACUGGGCGUAAAGGGCACGCAGGCGGUUAUUUAAGUGAGGUGUGAAAGCCCCGGGCUUAACCUGGGAAUUGCAUUUCAGACUGGGUAACUAGAGUACUUUAGGGAGGGGUAGAAUUCCACGUGUAGCGGUGAAAUGCGUAGAGAUGUGGAGGAAUACCGAAGGCGAAGGCAGCCCCUUGGGAAUGUACUGACGCUCAUGUGCGAAAGCGUGGGGAGCAAACAGG
Molecule: ribosomal RNA, 759 nt
Filed under: Haemophilus influenzae
Lineage: Bacteria; Pseudomonadati; Pseudomonadota; Gammaproteobacteria; Pasteurellales; Pasteurellaceae
Description: bacterial SSU rRNA
Rfam family: Bacterial small subunit ribosomal RNA
Source: RNAcentral